UACAGGGGGUGCAAGCGUUGCUCGGAAUCAUUGGGCGUAAAGCGCACGUAGGCGGUUCGUUAUGUCGGAUGUGAAAGCCCUUGGCUUAACCGAGGAAGUGCAUCCGAAACUGGCGAGCUAGAGUACGAAAGAGGAUCGCGGAAUUCCCGGUGUAGAGGUGAAAUUCGUAGAUAUCGGGAGGAACACCGGUGGCGAAGGCGGCGAUCUGGGUCGAUACUGACGCUGAGGUGCGAAAGCGUGGGGAGCAAACAGG
Molecule: ribosomal RNA, 253 nt
Filed under: uncultured bacterium
Lineage: Bacteria
Description: partial 16S ribosomal RNA
Rfam family: Bacterial small subunit ribosomal RNA
Source: RNAcentral